CAAAAUGGAUAUAUGUAUGACCGGAGAAUAGGUAGAAGUGCGGCGCCUUUCUGUCGCGCCACCCCAUAAAAUGACGGGGUCAUUAAAUGGCGUGGCGCCAUUUUUCUGAGAAA
Molecule: non-coding RNA, 113 nt
Organism: Caenorhabditis elegans
Lineage: Eukaryota; Metazoa; Nematoda; Chromadorea; Rhabditida; Rhabditidae
Source: Ensembl